RNAcentral lists this long non-coding RNA (281 nucleotides) under Mytilus galloprovincialis (Mediterranean mussel). The record is from RNAcentral. Lineage: Eukaryota; Metazoa; Mollusca; Bivalvia; Mytilida; Mytilidae.
UUACUUUUUACUAUAUACUGUGAAAGUACUUUUAUUCGUGGGGUACCAAUUUUCGUGGUUUUCGUUGAUGACUUUAUCCACGAAUUUAAGUGUCCAACGAAAUAACACAACCAUUGUCCAAAUCAAGACAUGGAAAGAUCUCGAAUCUGAGAAUGCAGUCACAGAACUACAACUGCAUGCAGGAUUAUACCCUUUUAAUCUUUAAUAACCUAAACUGUACAAUUUUUUGUUUUCAAUAUUCUCAUCAAAAUAUUUUUUUCGAUGAAAGUCAGAUUUAUGGU